UGGCGUAUAGCUCAGUUGGUAGAGCGCCUGACUGUUAAUCAGAGGGUCACUGGUUCGAGUCCAGUUAUGCCAG
Molecule: transfer RNA, 73 nt
Filed under: Caudoviricetes sp.
Lineage: Duplodnaviria; Heunggongvirae; Uroviricota; Caudoviricetes
Description: tRNA-Asn
Rfam family: tRNA
About the family: Transfer RNA (tRNA) molecules are approximately 80 nucleotides in length. Their secondary structure includes four short double-helical elements and three loops (D, anti-codon, and T loops). Further hydrogen bonds mediate the characteristic L-shaped molecular structure. tRNAs have two regions of fundamental functional importance: the anti-codon, which is responsible for specific mRNA codon recognition, and the 3' end, to which the tRNAs corresponding amino acid is attached (by aminoacyl-tRNA synthetases). tRNAs cope with the degeneracy of the genetic code in two manners: having more than one tRNA (with a specific anti-codon) for a particular amino acid; and 'wobble' base-pairing, i.e. permitting non-standard base-pairing at the 3rd anti-codon position.
Source: RNAcentral